AAUAGAUACCCAGGUAGUCCACGCCGUAAACGAUGAGUGCUAAGUGUUAGAGGGUUUCCGCCCUUUAGUGCUGCAGCUAACGCAUUAAAGCACUCCGCCGUGGGGAGUACGGCCGCAAGGCUGAAACUCAAAGGAAUUGACGGGGGCCCGCACAAGCGGUGGAGCAUGUGGUUUAAUUCGAAGCAACGCGAAGAACCUUACCAGGUCUUGACAUCCUCUGCCAACCCUAGAGAUAGGGCGUUCCCCUUCGGGGGACAGAGUGACAGGUGGUGCAUGGUUGUCGUCAGCUCGUGUCGUGAGAUGUUGGGUUAAGUCCCGCAACGAGCGCAACCCUUGAUCUUAGUUGCCAGCAUUCAGUUGGGCACUCUAAGGUGACUGCCGGUGACAAACCGGAGGAAGGUGGGGAUGACGUCAAAUCAUCAUGCCCCUUAUGACCUGGGCUACACACGUGCUACAAUGGAUGGUACAAAGAGCUGCGAACCCGCGAGGGUAAGCGAAUCUCAUAAAGCCAUUCUCAGUUCGGAUUGU
RNAcentral lists this ribosomal RNA (528 nucleotides) under uncultured bacterium. RNAcentral describes it as "bacterial SSU rRNA". It matches the Rfam family "Bacterial small subunit ribosomal RNA", at positions 777 to 1301 of the family's 1533-position model. The record is from RNAcentral.